AAAGGAAUAGACGGGGGCCCGCACAAGCGGUGGAGCACGUGGUUUAAUUCGAUGCAAACCGAAGAACCUUACCUGGGUUUGACAUGUUAGUGGUAAAAGGCUGAAAGGCUGAUGACUUAAUCUUCGGGUUAAGAGCUAACACAGGUGCUGCAUGGCUGUCGUCAGCUCGUGUCGUGAGAUGUUGGGUCAAGUCCCGCAACGAGCGCAACCCUUGCAUUUAGUUGCUACCGAGUAAAGUCGAGCACUCUAGAUGGACUGCCGCCGAUUAAGGUGGAGGAAGGUGGGGACGACGUCAAGUCAUCAUGGCCCUUAUGUCCAGGGCGACACACGUGCUACAAUGGCCGGUACAGAGGGAAGCAAACCUGAGAAGGAAAGCAGAUCCCAGAAAGCCGGUCGCAGUUCGGAUUGAGGUCUGCAACUCGACCUCAUGAAGCUGGAAUCGCUAGUAAUCGCAGAUCAGCCAAGCUGCGGUGAAUACGUUCCCGGGCCUUGUACACACCGCCCGU
Molecule: ribosomal RNA, 506 nt
Filed under: uncultured bacterium
Lineage: Bacteria
Description: bacterial SSU rRNA
Rfam family: Bacterial small subunit ribosomal RNA
Source: RNAcentral